Molecule: ribosomal RNA, 422 nt
Filed under: Polyxenida sp. WAM T124756
Lineage: Eukaryota; Metazoa; Arthropoda; Diplopoda; Polyxenida
Description: partial small subunit ribosomal RNA
Source: RNAcentral
UAAACUAGGAUUAGAUACCCUAUUAUGAAGUUAAUUUUGAUUGCCAUGGUAGUAGAUAAUUGAAACCUAAAGAUUUUGGCGGUAAUUUAAGCUCAUUAGAGGAAUUUGUUAUGUAAAUGAUGAUCCCCGUGGGGUGUACUUUAUUAAUUGUUUGUAUACCGCCGUUGAUUUGAUAAUUUUUAGAGGAUAAUGAAAUUUUUGUUAGUAGAGAUUGUCUUUUAAAUCAGGUCGAGGUGCAGCUUUAUUAAAGGUUUAAAUGAAUUACAAUUUUUGUUUGAAUACGGAUUAAUUAUUUGAAUUAUUUAUGAAGGAGGAUUUAAAAGUAAAAUUUUAAUGGAAUGAAAAUUUGAUUGUGGCUCUAAAUUAUGUACAUAUCGCCCGUCACUCUCGUUAAAAUAUGAGAUAAGUCGUAACAUAGUAAA